This 214-nucleotide ribosomal RNA is filed under the name uncultured bacterium. RNAcentral describes it as "partial 16S ribosomal RNA". It matches the Rfam family "Bacterial small subunit ribosomal RNA", at positions 129 to 334 of the family's 1533-position model. The record is from RNAcentral.
CCUGGUAGCGGGGGGUAACUAAUUGGAAACGAUAGCUAAUACCGCAUAAUAAUUUGAUUAUUUGCAUGAUAAUUGAUUGAAAGAUGCUAUUGCAUCACUACCAGAUGGACCUGCGUUGUAUUAGCUAGUAGGUGAGGUAACGGCUCACCUAGGCGACGAUACAUAGCCGACCUGAGAGGGUGAUCGGCCACACUGGGACUGAGACACGGCCCAG